Molecule: microRNA, 22 nt
Filed under: Tribolium castaneum (red flour beetle)
Lineage: Eukaryota; Metazoa; Arthropoda; Insecta; Coleoptera; Tenebrionidae
Description: tca-miR-3836i-5p
Source: miRBase by way of RNAcentral
CGGUCUAUCUUUGUUUAGACUG